GAUGAACGCUGGCGGCGUGCCUAAUACAUGCAAGUCGAGCGAACAGACGAGGAGCUUGCUCCUCUGACGUUAGCGGCGGACGGGUGAGUAACACGUGGAUAACCUACCUAUAAGACUGGGAUAACUUCGGGAAACCGGAGCUAAUACCGGAUAAUAUAUUGAACCGCAUGGUUCAAUAGUGAAAGACGGUUUUGCUGUCACUUAUAGAUGGAUCCGCGCCGCAUUAGCUAGUUGGUAAGGUAACGGCUUACCAAGGCGACGAUGCGUAGCCGACCUGAGAGGGUGUCGGGCACAACUGAACCUGAGAACCGGUCAGGACCCUAAGGGAAGGCACAGGUGGGAAUCCUUCGCAAAUGGGGGAAAGCUUGAGGAACCACCGCGGGGUGGGUAAUGAAGGCUUUCGAUCCGUAAACUCUGUUAUUAGGGAAGAACAAAUGUGUAAGUAACUAUGCACGUCUUGACGGUACCUAAUCAGAAAGCCACGGCUAACUACGUG
This 496-nucleotide ribosomal RNA is filed under the name uncultured bacterium. RNAcentral's name for it is "partial 16S ribosomal RNA". It matches the Rfam family "Bacterial small subunit ribosomal RNA", at positions 28 to 507 of the family's 1533-position model. The record is from RNAcentral.